GACGAACGCUGGCGGCGUGCUUAACACAUGCAAGUCGAACGGAGUUAAGCGAAAAGUUACUUUUGCAUAACUUAGUGGCGGACGGGUGAGUAACACGUGGAUAACUCUACCCCUAAUCACCGGGACAACAGCUGGAAACGGCUGCUAAUACCGGAUAAUACCCUCGGGCGGCAGUCGUUUGGGGGGGAAAGAUGGCCUCUAUGCAUAAGCUAUCGAAUGGGGAUGAGUCCGCGUCUGAUUAGCUAGUUGGUAGGGUAACGGCCUACCAAGGCGACGAUCAGUAGCCGGCCUGAGAGGGUGGCCGGCCACACUGGGACUGAGACACGGCCCAGACUCCUACGGGAGGCAGCAGUGGGGAAUCUUCCGCAAUGGGCGCAAGCCUGACGGAGCAACGCCGCGUGAAUGAAGAAGGCCUUCGGGUCGUAAAGUUCUGUCUUAAGGGAAGAACAAGCAUAGGGUAAAUAAUCCUAUGCCCCGACGGUACCUUAGGAGGAAGCUCCGGCUAACUACGUG
This 513-nucleotide ribosomal RNA is filed under the name uncultured bacterium. RNAcentral describes it as "bacterial SSU rRNA". It matches the Rfam family "Bacterial small subunit ribosomal RNA", at positions 28 to 507 of the family's 1533-position model. The record is from RNAcentral.